AAGGUCAAACACGUUAGAAUCAUGCGUGCUCACAGUUAAAUAAAUUGCCUCGUAGUACAUGAAAAAGAUAAAUGAACGAGAGGAUUAAUCGGACAAUCUAUAUUAUAGGUAUGCACACGUGCGUGUGUACGCUUCACGUGCAUGAAAGAUAUUCGUGACUUGGUUUCCGACACUUAGAGAAUGAAUUUAUUCUCAGCUUUUCGUGCCAUCAUUGUGAGUUCGUCGCGACUCUCCACGUGUGACGCGCUUCGAUGAUUCCGACGGUAGCAGGGAACCGGGGAUCUCACUUUUCCUUCACCAGCAAACAUGCGAUACUCCUGUUACUUUUGAUGUGAGUGAGAGAAUAAAAAGCAUCCAACUACGUUGUACAAUGCAAGCGUCGGCGAUUUCACUUGUACUCUUUUGUACUUCUAGAAUAGGGAACAUGAGAUUUUGAUAUACGGACAGCAUUUUAUGCACGCCAGAGCACCGGAUACCGUAAGCUCACAUGAAACGCAAUUGACUUACAGCAAAGGAUAGAAGAAUCAUUCCUUUUAGUCAUUUCACGUUAUUAUCCGAUGGAAUUUAUGCGUAUAUGUAUUUCAAUCGCAUGAUCGUCGGAAUUCUAUCGUUAUGGAUCAGCCGUGCCUAUUACGUUUAUGCCGUUCCUCGGCGAUCGAGUUCGCGAUCAGUGAAGCUACAGGUUGCAGCGGGCCCUUCCAAAUAAGACUAUUAUAGUUGUCAGGGUCAAGGACCUGAACUGUACAGACUACACGGAAGAGUUUGAUGAAAGUUUGAGACUCUACGGACAAACGAUCAUGAAAGAAUACCAAGAUGUAUUCCCCACUCGGUGAAAGUGCAAUUCGACGAGGAUCAAAUAUAAUAAUGAAUCCUCUAAUAAAUUGUAGCAGGACAAGCGUACGUCUUUUCGCACGGAUUCAAACACUCGAUUGUAAUAAAGU
This 941-nucleotide long non-coding RNA is filed under the name Neodiprion lecontei (redheaded pine sawfly). RNAcentral's name for it is "uncharacterized LOC124295080, transcript variant X1". The record is from RNAcentral. Lineage: Eukaryota; Metazoa; Arthropoda; Insecta; Hymenoptera; Diprionidae.